RNAcentral lists this ribosomal RNA (761 nucleotides) under Verruciconidia persicina. RNAcentral describes it as "eukaryotic LSU rRNA". It matches the Rfam family "Eukaryotic large subunit ribosomal RNA", at positions 69 to 861 of the family's 3401-position model. The record is from RNAcentral. Lineage: Eukaryota; Fungi; Ascomycota; Sordariomycetes; Hypocreales; Bionectriaceae.
CAGGGAUUGCCUCAGUAACGGCGAGUGAAGCGGCAACAGCUCAAAUUUGAAAUCUUGGCCUUCUGGCCCGAGUUGUAAUUUGCAGAGGAUGUUUCUUGGCGAGGUGCCUUCCGAGUUCCCUGGAACGGGACGCCAUAGAGGGUGAGAGCCCCGUACGGUUGGUCGCUAAGCCUCUGUGAAACUCCUUCGACGAGUCGAGUAGUUUGGGAAUGCUGCUCUAAAUGGGAGGUAUACGUCUUCUAAAGCUAAAUACCGGCCAGAGACCGAUAGCGCACAAGUAGAGUGAUCGAAAGAUGAAAAGCACUUUGAAAAGAGGGUUAAAUAGUACGUGAAAUUGUUGAAAGGGAAGCGCUCAUGACCAGACUUGGGCCGGUUGAUCAUCCAUCGUUCUCGGUGGUGCACUCUGCCGGCUCAGGCCAGCAUCAGCUCGUUCCGGGGGAUAAAGGCUUUGGGAAUGUGGCUCCCUACGGGGAGUGUUAUAGCCCACUGCGUAAUACCUGGGGCGGGCUGAGGUUCGCGCUCCGCAAGGAUGCUGGCGUAAUGGUUAUCAGUGACCCGUCUUGAAACACGGACCAAGGAGUCGUCUUCGUAUGCGAGUGUUCGGGUGUCAAACCCCUACGCGUAAUGAAAGUGAACGUAGGAGAGAGCUUCGGCGCAUCUCCGACCGAUCCUGAUGUUCUCGGAUGGAUUUGAGUAAGAGCAUACGGGGCCGGACCCGAAAGAAGGUGAACUAUGCUUGUAUAGGGUGAAGCCAGGGGAAA